UCAGUGACGCUAUAUGCCAAAAUAAGUGCUGCAUAUAUCACUCCUAAACAAUGAAAACGCAUUAUAACUAGACAAAAACCGGAUGCUAAAGGAUGAAUGAGGUGGGUAGAAAAGAAUGGAAAACAGUGUGAGCAAAGUGACUAGGACAAGAACACACAGGUUUGAGGGCUGUGAAGAAACCAACUUGACUGUAAAGGGACAUGAGGUGAGAGAGGAGGAAGAAAUAGUUACAUAUACAAUGCAGAGCCCAAUUUUAAAGGGGUAAAUGCAAGGUAUAAAUGAUCGAAGUUUUAUAAUAAAAACAUAGCUAGGUACUCAAUAAAUAUUGUCAGUUUUCGUUAUCUGAGUCCUAAUUUGUAUGUUUAUUUUCCUGUUUGCUUCUAGAGCUUAUGAACAGUGAGAGUUUAAGUUCAAAGAGUUGAUUUUCCAGGCUGAUGGAGUCUAAAUGACAGUGAAGCCACUACAGUCCAGGGCAAGGGAGAAGGGAAAAGUCCCACAGGAAGUACCAGAUCCCAGUCGCCAAAGUUCCAAAUGAUGAGCAAACUGGAAGAGGAGAAGCUGCCUCUUUUUUGCACAGGAAACGAGACGUCGCUGUAUCCAAGAAUUGAAAAGACAUGAACAAGCCAGCGUCAUCUAUUGCCUCGGUAUAAGAGUCUACCUUCCCUCAUAUGGAUGAACUUAGGAAUCCACCUUCCUGAAAUCAAGUCACCAAAAAGUUUGAUAUUAAAACAUCUCAUCACUUUUUCUGAAUUAUCAAUGAAAUUGGUACUGACACCCACAACAGGAAAUGCCACUUUACCAAAGUUA
Long non-coding RNA from Camelus dromedarius (Arabian camel), 807 nucleotides. RefSeq lists it as uncharacterized. NCBI's taxonomy places the organism in Eukaryota, Metazoa, Chordata, Mammalia, Artiodactyla, Camelidae. The transcript has 3 exons. The record is from RefSeq and is a predicted model, not a curated record.